UUGGGGCUUAGGGUGUAGGUAUUAGGGGUUAAGGGUCAUGGUUUAUGAUUUAUAGGUUUAAGAUUUAAGGUUUAAGGGAUAAGAGGGUCUAUGUCAAUUUAGGGUUAAGGGUUUAGGGUUUAGGGUUUAGGGUAAAAAGUUUACGGUUGAUGGUUUUCAGGAUAUAUAGGGGUUGUGGUUUAGGGUUUAGGUUAUUUAGUAUUUUUGACUAAUACAACCUGAC
Molecule: long non-coding RNA, 223 nt
Filed under: Gossypium raimondii (Peruvian cotton)
Lineage: Eukaryota; Viridiplantae; Streptophyta; Magnoliopsida; Malvales; Malvaceae
Description: long non-coding RNA (GRAI_LNC006442)
Source: RNAcentral